GUUGGCUUGGAUUUGGGGAUUGCUGGGCCUUGUGUCUGGCUUCCCUUGAAUGCAUUAGUUGAAUUGACUUGCAACGCUAUGUGUGGUGUGAUAAUAUCUUCACUGCAUAGUUGUAAUGAAGUUUGGCUUCUAACUGUCUUUCAUUAGACAAUCUUUGACCAUUAGACCUCAAAUCAGGUAGGACUACCCGCUGAACUUAA
This 200-nucleotide unclassified non-coding RNA is filed under the name soil metagenome. RNAcentral's name for it is "partial contains internal transcribed spacer 2 and large subunit ribosomal RNA". The record is from RNAcentral.